GGGCUUGUAACUCAGCUUGGUAGUCAGUAUCGGGCUUUUAACCCGAGAGUCGUGGGUUCGAAACUUUUUGCGCACGUCCGCGCAAAAACUUUCAUGAAAAGUACGCUGCCGCCGGUGCGCGUGCGCGGAUUUUUCAGGCGGGUUUUUGCGCGUCGAGCGGAUGUGAUUGGCGCAAAAAGCUGCAAUCCCACCAGGCCCGCCA
This 202-nucleotide transfer RNA is filed under the name Candidatus Aenigmatarchaeota archaeon. RNAcentral describes it as "tRNA-Lys". The record is from RNAcentral. Lineage: Archaea; Nanobdellati; Candidatus Aenigmatarchaeota.